RNAcentral lists this ribosomal RNA (502 nucleotides) under uncultured bacterium. RNAcentral's name for it is "bacterial SSU rRNA". It matches the Rfam family "Bacterial small subunit ribosomal RNA", at positions 28 to 521 of the family's 1533-position model. The record is from RNAcentral.
GACGAACGCUGGCGGCGUGGAUUAGGCAUGCAAGUCGAACGGUAUCAUCCUUUCGGGGGUGAGAGAGUGGCGAACUGGUGAGUAACACGUAGGUUAUCUACCCUCAAGACGGGGACAACCCAGGGAAACUUGGGCUAAUACCGGAUGUGAGCAACUUUUAGUUGUUUGAAAGGUGGCGUAAGCUGUCGCUUGGGGAUGAGCCUGCGUCCUAUUAGUUAGUUGGUGAGGUAACGGCUCACCUAGGCAAUGAUAGGUAGGCGGCCUUAACGGGUGGUCGCCCACACUGGGAUUGAGAUACGGCCCAGACUCCUACGGGAGGCAGCAGUCGAGAAUAGUCUACAAUGGUCGGAAGACUGAUAGUGCGACGCCGCGUGAACGAUGAAUCCCUUCGGGGUGUAAAGCUCUUUUAUAUGUGAGCAGUGCUUCUUAUAUUAAACAGUAUGGGGAGAGAGAUAUUAGCAUAUGAAUAAGCAACGGCUAACUCCGUGCCAGCAGCCGCGGU